CAGUCGCCACGGGAAUACCAAGGGUGCAAGCGUUACUCGGAAUUACUGGGCGUAAAGCGUGCGUAGGUGGUGGUUUAAGUCCGUUGUGAAAGCCCUGGGCUCAACCUGGGAAUUGCAGUGGAUACUGGGUCACUAGAGUGUGGUAGAGGAUAGUGGAAUUUCCGGUGUAGCAGUGAAAUGCGUAGAGAUCGGAAGGAACAUCUGUGGCGAAGGCGACUAUCUGGGCCAACACUGACACUGAGGCACGAAAGCGUGGGGAGCAAACAGGAUUAGAUACCCCAGUAGUCCCUGUCUCUUAUAC
This 301-nucleotide ribosomal RNA is filed under the name uncultured bacterium. RNAcentral describes it as "partial 16S ribosomal RNA". It matches the Rfam family "Bacterial small subunit ribosomal RNA", at positions 509 to 807 of the family's 1533-position model. The record is from RNAcentral.